GGGACGAGAAGACCCUAUAGAGUUUUAUAAUUUAUAAUUUAUAUUGAUUUAUAUUAAUAAAAAAAAAAUUGAAUAAAUUAAAAAUUAUUUUAUUGGGGUGAUGGAAAAAUAUAAAUAACUUUUUUUAUAAAAAUUCAUAAAUAAGUGAUUAAUUGAUCCAUUAAUAAUGAUU
This 172-nucleotide ribosomal RNA is filed under the name Idaea dimidiata. RNAcentral's name for it is "partial large subunit ribosomal RNA". Lineage: Eukaryota; Metazoa; Arthropoda; Insecta; Lepidoptera; Geometridae. The record is from RNAcentral.